AUUGAACGCUGGCGGCAUGCCUUACACAUGCAAGUCGAACGGCAGCACGGGAGCAAUCCUGGUGGCGAGUGGCGAACGGGUGAGUAAUACAUCGGAACGUGCCCAGUAGUGGGGGAUAACCCGGCGAAAGCCGGACUAAUACCGCAUACGACCUACGGGUGAAAGCGGGGGAUCGCAAGACCUCGCGCUAUCGGAGCGGCCGAUGUCAGAUUAGCUUGUUGGUGGGGAAAAGCCUACCAAGGCGACGAUCUGUAGCUGGUCUGAGAGGACGACCAGCCACACUGGGACUGAGACACGGCCCAGACUCCUACGGGAGGCAGCAGUGGGGAAUUUUGGACAAUGGGCGCAAGCCUGAUCCAGCCAUGCCGCGUG
Molecule: ribosomal RNA, 372 nt
Filed under: uncultured bacterium
Lineage: Bacteria
Description: bacterial SSU rRNA
Rfam family: Bacterial small subunit ribosomal RNA
Source: RNAcentral